CUAGUUCUGUUAUUUAAAGUAAAUUUCUCUCAUAUCCCUGUGCACACAUGUUCCACCUGAAACUGAUCUGGUUGAUUAAACUAAUUUGCGUAGGAUUUGUGCUGGUUGCAACACAGAGAUUGGCCAUGGACGGUAUUUGAGCUGCAUGGGUGCAGUUUGGCACCCAGAAUGCUUCUGUUGUCAUGCUUGCAAUCUACCCAUUUCGGAUUAUGAGUUCUCAAUGUCUGAUAAUCACCCUUAUCACAAAUCCUGCUACAAGGAGCACUACCAUCCAAAAUGUGAUGUUUGUAAGCAGUUUAUUCCUACAAAUGC
Telopea speciosissima is the source of this 312-nucleotide long non-coding RNA. RefSeq lists it as uncharacterized. The transcript is spliced from 3 exons. The record is from RefSeq and is a predicted model, not a curated record. NCBI's taxonomy places the organism in Eukaryota, Viridiplantae, Streptophyta, Magnoliopsida, Proteales, Proteaceae.